GGGCCCGCACAAGCGGUGGAGCAUGUGGUUUAAUUCGACGCAACGCGCAGAACCUUACCAGCCCUUGACAUCCCGAUCGCGGAUUACAGAGAUGUUUUCCUUCAGUUCGGCUGGAUCGGUGACAGGUGCUGCAUGGCUGUCGUCAGCUCGUGUCGUGAGAUGUUCGGUUAAGUCCGGCAACGAGCGCAACCCACAUCCCUAGUUGCCAGCAGUUCGGCUGGGCACUCUAUGGAAACUGCCCGUGAUAAGCGGGAGGAAGGUGUGGAUGACGUCAAGUCCUCAUGGCCCUUACGGGUUGGGCUACACACGUGCUACAAUGGUAGUGACAAUGGGUUAAUCCCAAAAAGCUAUCUCAGUUCGGAUUGUCGUCUGCAACUCGACGGCAUG
RNAcentral lists this ribosomal RNA (387 nucleotides) under uncultured bacterium. RNAcentral describes it as "bacterial SSU rRNA". It matches the Rfam family "Bacterial small subunit ribosomal RNA", at positions 917 to 1322 of the family's 1533-position model. The record is from RNAcentral.